GACGAACGCUGGCGGCGUGCUUAACACAUGCAAGUCGAACGGAAAGGCCCCUUUGGGGGUACUCGAGUGGCGAACGGGUGAGUAACACGUGAGUAACCUGCCCUUGACUUCGGGAUAACUUCAGGCAACUGGGGCUAAUACCGGAUAGGAAUCCUUGCUGCAUGGUGGGGGUUGGAAAGCUUCGGCGGUUUUGGAUGGACUCGCGGCUUAUCAGCUUGUUGGUGGGGUAGUGGCUUACCAAGGAUUUGACGGGUAGCCGGCCUGUGAGGGCGACCGGCCACAUUGGGACUGGGAUACGGCCCCGACUCCUACGGGGGGCAGCAGUGGGGAAUAUUGCGCAAUGGGCGGAAGCCUGAUGCAGCAACGCCGCGUGCGGGAGGACGGCCUUCGGGUUGUAAACCGCUUUCAGCAGGGGCGAAGCUUGUGGUGACGGUACCCGCAGAAGAAGCACCGGCUAACUACGUG
Molecule: ribosomal RNA, 465 nt
Filed under: uncultured bacterium
Lineage: Bacteria
Description: partial 16S ribosomal RNA
Rfam family: Bacterial small subunit ribosomal RNA
Source: RNAcentral